GAUGAACGCUGGCGGCGUGCCUAAUACAUGCAAGUCGAGCGAACAGACGAGGAGCUUGCUCCUCUGACGUUAGCGGCGGACGGGGGAGUAAAACGUGGAGAACCUACCUAUAAGACUGGGAUAACUUCGGGAAACCGGAGCUAAUACCGGAUAAUAUAUUGAACCGCAUGGUUCAAUAGUGAAAGACGGUUUUGCUGUCACUUAUAGAUGGAUCCGCGCCGCAUUAGCUAGUUGGUAAGGUAACGGCUUACCAAGGCAACGAUGCGUAGCCGACCUGAGAGGGUGAUCGGCCACACUGGAACUGAGACACGGUCCAGACUCCUACGGGAGGCAGCAGUAGGGAAUCUUCCGCAAUGGGCGAAAGCCUGACGGAGCAACGCCGCGUGAGUGAUGAAGGUCUUCGGAUCGUAAAACUCUGUUAUUAGGGAAGAACAAAUGUGUAAGUAACUAUGCACGUCUUGACGGUACCUAAUCAGAAAGCCACGGCUAACUACGUG
This 497-nucleotide ribosomal RNA is filed under the name uncultured bacterium. RNAcentral describes it as "partial 16S ribosomal RNA". It matches the Rfam family "Bacterial small subunit ribosomal RNA", at positions 28 to 507 of the family's 1533-position model. The record is from RNAcentral.